AGUGAACGCUGGCGGUAGGCCUAACACAUGCAAGUCGAACGGCAGCACAGUAAGAGCUUGCUCUUACGGUUGGCGAGUGGCGGACGGGUGAGGAAUACAUCGGAAUCUACUUUUUCGUGGGGGAUAACGUAGGGAAACUUACGCUAAUACCGCAUACGAUCUACGGGUGAAAGCAGGGGAUCUUCGGACCUUGCGCGAUUGAAUGAGCCGAUGUCGGAUUAGCUAGUUGGCGGGGUAAAGGCCCACCAAGGCGACGAUCCGUAGCUGGUCUGAGAGGAUGAUCAGCCACACUGGAACUGAGACACGGUCCAGACUCCUACGGGAGGCAGCAGUGGGGAAUAUUGGACAAUGGGCGAAAGCCUGAUCGAGCAAUACCGCGUGGGUGAAGAAGGCCUUCGGAUUGUAAAGCCCUUUUGUUGGGAAAGAAAAGCAGCAGGUUAAUACCCCGCUGUUCUGACGGUACCCAAAGAAUAAGCACCGGCUAACUACGUG
RNAcentral lists this ribosomal RNA (492 nucleotides) under uncultured bacterium. RNAcentral's name for it is "partial 16S ribosomal RNA". It matches the Rfam family "Bacterial small subunit ribosomal RNA", at positions 29 to 507 of the family's 1533-position model. The record is from RNAcentral.